ACAGGCAUGGCAAACGGGAGAGUAACACAUUGGCAAUCUACCCCUAAGACGAGGAUAACCUUGCGAAAGCGAGAAUAAUACUCGAUAGUAUCAACGAACGUAAGUUUAUUGAUUAAAGCUCCGGCGCUUAGGGAGGAGCCUAUGGCCUAUCAGCUAGUUGGUGCGGUAACGGCCCACCAAGGCUACGACGGGUAUGGGGUGCGAGAGCAUGACCCCACUCACUGGGACUGAGACACUGCCCAGACUCCUACGGGAGGCUGCAGUCAAGAAUCUUCCUCAAUGGGCGAAAGCCUGAAGGAGCGACGCCGCGUGUAUGAAGAAGCCCCUCGGGGUGUAAAGUACUUUUAACUGUGACAAAACAAUGAUGGUAGCAGUUGAAUAAGGGGCUGCUAACCUCGUGCCAGCAGCAGCGGUAAUACGAGGGCCCCAAGCGUUAUCCGGAUUUAUUGGGCGUAAAGCGUCCGUAGGUGGUUUAUCGCAUCUCCUGUUAAAUCUCGAGGCUCAACCUCGAGUCAGCGGGAGAGAUGGACAAACUAGAGACUGGAAGAGGCACAUGGAAUUGCUGGUGUAGGGGUUAAAUCCAUUAAUAUCAGCAAGAACACCAAAUGCGAAGGCAAUGUGCUAGGACAGUUCUGACACUCAGUGGACGAAAGCGUGGGGAGCGAAUGGGAUUAGAUACCCCAGUAGUCCACGCCGUAAACGAUGGAUACUAAGCAUUGGAAGUAUCGACCCUUUCAGUGCUGCUAAUUUAAGUUAACACGUUAAGUAUCCCGCCUGGGGAGUACGGCCGCAAGGCUAAA
Molecule: ribosomal RNA, 800 nt
Filed under: uncultured Actinomycetes bacterium
Lineage: Bacteria; Bacillati; Actinomycetota; Actinomycetes
Description: bacterial SSU rRNA
Rfam family: Bacterial small subunit ribosomal RNA
Source: RNAcentral